Molecule: ribosomal RNA, 253 nt
Filed under: uncultured bacterium
Lineage: Bacteria
Description: partial 16S ribosomal RNA
Rfam family: Bacterial small subunit ribosomal RNA
Source: RNAcentral
UACAGAGGGGACUAGCGUUGUUCGGAAUCACUGGGCGUAAAGCGCACGUAGGCGGAUGUGUCAGUCAGGGGUGAAAUCCCGGGGCUCAACCUCGGAACUGCCUUUGAUACAGCACGUCUCGAGUCCGGAAGAGGUGGGUGGAAUUCCUAGUGUAGAGGUGAAAUUCGUAGAUAUUAGGAAGAACACCGGUGGCGAAGGCGGCCCACUGGUCCGGUACUGACGCUGAGGUGCGAAAGCGUGGGGAGCAAACAGG